CUUCCAGUAAAGGGAAGAACACGAUAGAAAUGAAUGCCCAAAGAAGAUAGUCUCCCAAUUUGUUAAAUCGUAUGGGGGAAAAUUCAGGCCAACGGCCAAACAAAAGAGUUGGAAGAGAGGUGGGGGAAAAUACUAGGCAAAAACCUCCUUCUUUAACAAUUAACAAUGAACCAUCGUUAUCUAUUAUAGAAGUAGUAGAAGAAAUUAUCCAUGGAUUGCAUAGCCACGUGGGUGAAAGUUCCAGAAUGGUGGAUGAUGUGGUGGUGGGUGAUGCUUCGGGUGAUGAGUCACUAGAAGACGCUGAUGUAGCUUGAUUUUGGGGUUGUUCACAUUGGCUGCUGCUAAGAAACUUCUUCUCAAGCUGAUGCAUGCAUAAUUGAUGUUCAAUGAACCACAUUUAUGGAGCUCCAUGCACUUGGACGUGCAUGCAUGUGGAAGGUGCUGAACACAACAUUCCAAGUUUCUUCUCAUGAAAAGCCAAGUGUGUCCACACUUGACAAAUUGGUUGGCUACUAAGUUCACACCUAUGAAGCCAUUCAAUUCUUUCUGUUCACACUUGAAAACUCUUUAUGCGACAUAAGCAGCAAUAAUGAGCUACAUAACCAUUCGGUUUUCCAAGUAGCAUCAAUUCAUGUUCACACCAUUUCAACCGUUCAACUCCAUGCAGAUUCAGCUAAUCUUCAAGGUCCAAGGAAAUUGGCUGAUUGGGAAUGCAAAUGUCACAAUGUGAACAAGGCUGCUGGAGUUACCUACAUCUAAAAACUCUCAAGGGAUGUCUUGGACAAAUUAACGGUCAUUAAACUCAUUCAAUCUGAUUGUUAACAUGCCUAUUCAGCUGAUUUAUUGUAUAGCCUAUAAAUACUAGGCUUGAAACACUUUGUAGGAACUUUUGAUGAAAUUUUAUCUUAUUGUGAGUGUUCUCUCUCUUUGUUCA
Molecule: long non-coding RNA, 934 nt
Organism: Gossypium raimondii (Peruvian cotton)
Lineage: Eukaryota; Viridiplantae; Streptophyta; Magnoliopsida; Malvales; Malvaceae
Exons: 2
Source: RefSeq, a predicted model, not a curated record